GCGAGAGUUCUCUACCAAUCACAAGGUCGGUGGUUCAGUCCUUGGAUGCUACAGUCCGGUUGUCUAAGGAAUUUUACUUGGACCUCAAGUGGCUCUCCGGUACAUUCAUCAGCAGUGUGUGUGAAUAUGUGUGUGAAAGUGUUAGAUAAGUAAGCGUUUGUGUUAAUGAGGCAUGUUUUAUGGAGCAUUUUGAGUGCUCGAAAACAGUAGAAAGCACUAUGUAAGAACCAGUCCAUUUACCACUUAAAAAUUCUUCAUCUAUGUAUAUAUACUGACACCACAGCUUCCUUUCUACAGUUAAAAAUAAUAAUAACUUACUAGUUUAUCACUAGAUCUUCCCAGCUGGAAAAAUCUACCUACUAGUCAGGAUGCAGCCUGGUUUUCUGAAAGGACCGCCUUUCCGUGCCCACUCCAAAGAACCCAGUUUCCUCUGGUCAGCCACUUUACACCAGUAGAGCACACUCAGCAGGAAGUUUACAGCCACCAUAGUCAACUCAAAGCAUGUCUAUCUUUGUUCAAGCAACCAAACAGUCUUUGUUCUGCGCAACAAAGAAGAAGCCCUAAAAACAGAGAGCACAGAGAGGCCAUGGAAAAUGCACCGUGCAAUGGUCGGGUCAUAACUCAACUUGAAAGCAAACCAUGUGUUAAUUGUCCGUGAGUGUGUUUGCUGGAUAGACGCACAGUGUAUAUAGGGAGGCAUGCAAUCAUUCUUUUUCAUGUAGUAAACACUGAAUCGACCCACGCAGGCCUUCCUGCCCUCUCUGCAGCCUAAGCUAGAAGACUUUUAUAUCACUCAUUAAAGGAAACAGUCUAGAGGCCUUAUGCAACCUUUUGCAUUUGGCAAUCUAUGAUUUGAGUGUGCAGAGCCUCCAAAAAGAAGAACACGUAGUGUGUCCAUUGAUAAGAUUCAUCCACUUACCCUCUGUACAGAGAGACCAGUGUAUUACCAGACGGUGUGUGUUCUUUAAAAUCCAAACAGGUCAACAGAAAAUGGGAAACACUGAACCAGUGAGAACUACUUAUACUUCAAGAAGCACUUGAAUAUCCGAACAGGUUUAACACAAGCAACAGUAGAGGGCGUCUCACCACAAUAGCACUGACCCUGAGUCAGCAUUUGCCCCUGUGGCAUCUGCUCACACUCUGUUAGACUGAAUCAAUACUGUGAACAAAGAAGCUUCAGACAGUCAUCU
Molecule: long non-coding RNA, 1190 nt
Filed under: Oreochromis niloticus (Nile tilapia)
Lineage: Eukaryota; Metazoa; Chordata; Actinopteri; Cichliformes; Cichlidae
Description: lncRNA (ENSONIG00000037314.1)
Source: RNAcentral